RNAcentral lists this long non-coding RNA (306 nucleotides) under Capsicum annuum. RNAcentral describes it as "long non-coding RNA (CANN_LNC015499)". Lineage: Eukaryota; Viridiplantae; Streptophyta; Magnoliopsida; Solanales; Solanaceae. The record is from RNAcentral.
AAAAGGAUAGGAGAAAGAGAGUAAGAGAAGGACGGUGUAGCAUUGGCAGUGAGAUUUCACCGGUGGAGGUGGGUAUCGAUGGAGAUUGUUGGGUGGAGAUUUCACCGGUGGAGGUGGGUAUCGAUGGAGAUUGUUGGGUGGAGAUUUCACCGGUGGAGGUGGGUAUCGAUGGAGAUUGUUGGGUGGAGAUUUCACCGGUGGAGGUGGGUAUCGAUGGAGAUUGUUGGGUGGCGUUGCUAUUGGUGAGAUGCCACCGGUGAUACUCAAGAAACUAAGUAAUUCCCUCUGACACUGAGUAGAUCGAAA